Xenia sp. Carnegie-2017 is the source of this 3229-nucleotide RNA transcript. RefSeq lists it as uncharacterized. Lineage: Eukaryota; Metazoa; Cnidaria; Anthozoa; Malacalcyonacea; Xeniidae. The record is from RefSeq and is a predicted model, not a curated record. The transcript has 16 exons.
ACAUGAAUCUUAAUUUUUUUUAAAUGGAAACAUCGCUUUUAAAUGUUGGUUAAAUGUUGGCAAUAAUAUAAAUAAAUAUUUACGAAAUGAACUUACAUGAAAAUAGUUUUAUAACCAUUAAGCUAGUGAAGUAAAGGAGAAAUACAUUUUUAUAGGUUUUUAUUAUCUGUGGAUUUUACAAUGAUUCAUAGUUUGUUUAUCAUCAACCAUUCAGGUUUAGGAACUUGUGUUUGGUUGCUGUGGAUGGCAGACGUUUGUGGCUGUUCAAAAGACAUCAGGCCAUGGAAAAAUAAUAAGUUUUAUUAACGACUGAAGAAAGUAACUGGGGACAAGCCCAUUCUCCUGAAGACAUUCCUCUGUUGUGAAAAAAUACUUUGGAAAAAUUCGCGCCCUUGCUGGUUAGAGUCGGCCAAAGAUCGUAUUUUCAUGUAAAGUUUGCACUAAUAUUGAGCUGUACAAUUUUCUGGAGAGGUCUCACUGGUCUGUUUGCAACAUUGAAGAAUGUCCGAAGUUUUUCAUGAGCAGUUGCAAAGUCAACAAAAUGGUGACAGAAACGAUGAAGUCACGAGCUGCAGAAGAAGGCAUUCGUGCUGUCAGACGGAAGCAAAAACGGUGAAGAAGUGGAGGUUGUUGAAACUUUUAAAGAAUUUCCUAAGUUCGAUGUAUUUACCUUGGAUAAUACAGAAUUUAUAGAGUUGCCUUCAACGAAUGAAAAGUUACUUCAUGGAUGACGAACGUUACGAGUCUAAAGGUGAAGGAACGGAAUAUUACCCCGACUAUGAAAUUCACAGAACCAUAAGAUUGAGUGACUGGAAGACAAGACCUGUUCUAAAGAAACAUUUUGCAAGUAAGACACAGAAGUGAGUUUUCAUUUUGAUAGCCAAGCUAUAAAUUAGGGUCCAUGACACUAUAUUUGUUAUUCUCACUCUAGUUCUCCUCUUCAUUUAUUGUACUUAAUGCAUGUAUGUUUUUAAUUCUGUAUAUUGCCGUUGCAAACAUUUUCUGGACAGUGCACAUCCUGUAAAACUUGAAGAAGGCAAGGGAAAGAAAAGCGAAGCUGUUAUUGAAUACCCUGAUCUUAACGUUCAUACAGGAAAGACUCGUCAACAUAAUUAUCUGGGUAAUUUUGUUCUUCGUACAAGAUUUUUCUCCAUGGCUUUUUCACCAUUAUAAGAAAAUGUUUCUUAAAAAAUAACAGAGCGUGACUUUGCUUGAUAGACAGUCAAGUCAUCCCACCUGUGAUAGCAAAGGUUAUAAGGGUGAAAUUAAUUACUUUGUAUGAAGCAUGUAUAUGUCAAAAUGCACAUUACCUCAACCAACAAAAACUAGGCCAUUUCGAAAACCCACCAAAGAAUGACCAGUUUAUUGUAUCCCAUCUGUCAGAAUCAUCGGUCAGAGUCGAUUGCAAAUCGGCAAUACCAGGGCAAUACCAAGCAAUACUAUCCAAUUUAACAUUAUGUACACUACUUCAGUCUUAAAAAUAUUACUGAUAAAUAGUCAUUAUGUCAUUCAUGUCAAUUUGUAUUCCUAAAGUACAAAUGUACAAGAACAAAAAAUUAUAAAAAUACAGUGUUGGCUAAGAAUUUUCUCUAUAAUUCAGCAACGCAAUAUACACAUUUUAUUUACUUCUUUACUGACCAAACUAUCAAUAGCUUGUUCAUUUUGAUGUUAAAAAGAAGACAAAUAAUGUUAUUUCUUCUUAAUCGAGCUGCUUCAGAAAGAUGAAAAUUUGCUGAAAAACAGGGGAGAGUAGGACCCUGGUUAAGACGCUGGACGAGUUUGGGGAAGCGGCCCAGCGGGGGAAAAACCUUCACACGUCAUUACCACUGUCAUUGCGAUGAAUGGGAAGUGGGAAUUGUAACUUUACCAAGGAAUGUUUACGUGUAGAAAAGCUCUAGAAUAGUUUACAACGAAAUCGAAGGGCCUGUAUUUCCGAUAUUCGGUGAUAAUGGCGAUGUCUGAAGCGCAUCGCGAAUUUUUAAGAAAAAACAGGGAAUAUAUCAAAAGAAAUCUUGAGGUUGAUGCUGUUUGGCCACAAAUGACGGACGUUCUGGAUCGUAACUGCGAAGACAAAAUUCGAGCAGAAUCCACCCCUGAAGCUCGUACUUUGGAACUUCUUAAUUUGCUGCAUCGGCGAGGAGAUGAAGCAUUUAUAUCCUUUAUUAGAGCGACACUUAAAGUUCAAAGAUGGGUUGGGGAAUACUUGGCUGACUUAGCCGGACUUAAUGUGAACCAUAUACUUCCUAGUGCUACGCAAAGAGAAACUGAAGAGCCUGGAAUGAAAGAGGUCCAUCGUCAAAUUCUUGUGAGCCAUUUGUCCACAUUUAAGCAAUCACUUAAUGUCGCUCAAAUGGUUGAAAGUUUAUCCAACAAUGUGGCGAUCACAAGCAGAAAUCCUGGUGUCAACAUCAGAGCUGUGUUGCAAGAACUAUCUUUGGACAAAAAAGUGGAAAAGCUUAUAUGUGAUGUGCUUCCGCGUUUAGGGCCUGAUGCAUUCCAAUGUUUUUUCAAAACCUUAGAUAUAAAUCAGCCGCAACUUGCCCAUGAUUUGAGGCAGUCAAUAAAAGCUACUCAUUCUGGCGAACUAAUUGAUGAGAGACAAUUCUAUCAGGAGCCAACAAAUGCUCAUCUGACUGGGCAGACCACAGCCCAGUUUAAUCUUGAAACAACCUGUUCAGAUCUACCUGACCAUGUUUAAAGAAAGUUAGAAGAACGCUUAAACAAAGGCAAUGAGUUAUUAGAGAAUGACUGGAGAAGCCUGUACAAAGCAGUGAAUUUGCCACAAGGUAAAGAAAACAUCAUUGCUGAGAAAUUCUCUGGUAACCCCACACGAUAUGUGUUGGACACUUGGUUUGAUAGAGACGGACAACAUGCCAAUGUAAGAGCACUGCUCCUAGCAUUGAAAGAGUGUAAGCAAGGAGGUUUAGCUCAUGAGAUAGAAAGGGAUUUGGAUGUUAAGCUGCCUGAUCAAGUUCCGCAAGACACCGUUGAUGGAAUCAUGCAGUUAAAUGAAAACGAGAAAAGAACUGUAGACGAUGAAAGAAGUUUGGGUGAACUUCCAAAAAUAGCUUCUGAAGAAAAGGAAUCGUUGCUAUAUCUACUAAAUGAUAAUGACAGUGAUGCUGAUAUUGGUAUAACGUCUUCUACAUCAGGACCUAAAUUGCUGUCUCAACCAUGGAAAUGUUAUGAUAAAUCAAUAAUGCACCAGCAAAAGUUCAGAAUGAUGGAA